This is a long non-coding RNA of Sciurus carolinensis (gray squirrel), 1488 nucleotides long. RefSeq lists it as uncharacterized. Lineage: Eukaryota; Metazoa; Chordata; Mammalia; Rodentia; Sciuridae. The record is from RefSeq and is a predicted model, not a curated record. The transcript has 3 exons.
CCUCCCUACUGAGGAGCCGCUGCCACCCAGGGAAGGGUCCUCAUGAUGUUUAAUAGAAACCAGGCGUCAGAGCCGCAGCGGCAUAGCAGGGGUUAAGUGCAACUCUCUCCCCAGGAGGGGGCCGGGAAGGGCGGGGGUCGAGCCCCGAGCGCCCCGGCUGAAGGAGAAAAGGAGAAGGGUAAAAAUAACCGGCGGCCGCGACCCACGUGCAGCUGCGCGAGGCAGACCGGAGGGCAGGGCGCCUUGCGCGGGGAAGGGGACGUACCUCCAAACAUGUGCGGCGAGAGGGAGAAGAAGCCCUCGCCUACAUGCAGGGAUGAAAUGAGAUUGCUGCUCAAAACUACCAGCCUUUCUCUGAAGUGGUGUCACAUCCAGACAGAAAAAUAAAUGUGCUGUGCCCUCACGGAUGAUGAGACAUCAUCUUUCAGACAGACUUUUUGACACAGGGGGAUCAAGGUACACUGGAUAACACUCCCAAGGACCCUGUGAGGGAGACAAGGGAAGUGUUCUCAUUCUACAGAGGAGAAAGUGGGGUCUCAGAAAGAUGGGGACUUACUGAUGGCCACAGAAAUGCCCACUCUGGCCAUUUGCCUGACAGUGACAUUCUCCCUCAUCUUUCCAAGCCUGGAUAAAAUGCCGUAGCAUUUCUUGGUCCCUUCUGACCCUACUCCUUCCUACCACCACUGCAGAAGAAAUUGUUCAUUCAUUCAACCAGUGUCAGUAAAACACGAUUUGUGUGUCAUCAGAGGAAAAGUGACAAAAUGUCCACAUCGUCGUGGGUCCUGCAGUGAGGAGCUCAUGGUCUAUCUGGAAUAUAGAAUGUCUAACUUUCCAGGUCCCUCAGGGAGCCCAGAAAUGGUCCACCUCUGUCCUGACCAAGUUCUAAAACUUGCUGAGAAAUAAAUCAGAGGAUCCAAUAGAUGGUGCCCAAAAUAUAUAUUUUAUAAUUGAAAAGGUGAAGUAGUGGGAAGGUCGAAUGGGCCUGCUAAGUGAAACCCCAGUGAGGAAGCUCCUCCUUGCUGGCCAGCAGUGGGCAGGGGAGCCAAGAAGGCCAUUUCCUGCCAGGGGAUGUUCCUGAGAGGAAGAGGCAGUGGCUAAGCACAGCACAGCAGUGGUUGCCCCCGGAUUAUGGGGAUGUAGGUUGUCAUGUCAUGGCUACCAUAAUGCAACUUGUCCAGGCCGUGAGUAGAGUGGCUCAUUCUGUGGGCUCCAACUCAGAACCCUAAGAUAGAGGCACACCAACUCCCACAAGAGCAAGUGAGGUCCCUCUGUGCACUGCUGUGACUCUGUGAAUACCUUCUGUAUGCUGUCAGCGUCUCUGUCUGCUCACCUCCACAGGGCGAGACUCCUGAGGGCAAGGACCACUGCUCCAGCAGACCCGUGUAAGACUGGUGCAGGAUGCAUCUGUAGCACAGCGACCUAACCCAGGUCACCAGAAAACAGGGUCAGAGCCCACAGUUCUGCCUCCUGGCCUGGUGCUCUCUGUCC